GAUGAAGAACGUAGCGAAAUGCGAUAAGUAAUGUGAAUUGCAGAAUUCCGUGAAUCAUCGAAUCUUUGAACGCACAUUGCGCCCCCUGGCAUUCCGGGGGGCAUGCCUGUCCGAGCGUCAUUUCUGCCCUCCAGCCCGGCUGGGUGUUGGGCGCUGUCCCCCCGGGGACACGCCCCAAAGGCAGUGGCGGCGCCGCGUCGGGUCCUCGAGCGUAUGGGGCUUUGUCACCCGCUCGGGACGGACUCGUCGGCGCUGGUCUUCCUCCAGGCGACCCUUCGGGGCUCGUCUUCCUUCGGUUGACCUCGGAUCAGGUAGGGUUACCCGCUGAACUUAAGAAUAUCAAUAAGCGGAGGA
This 354-nucleotide unclassified non-coding RNA is filed under the name soil metagenome. Its description in RNAcentral is "partial contains 5.8S ribosomal RNA, internal transcribed spacer 2, and large subunit ribosomal RNA". The stretch from base 1 to 120 matches the Rfam family "5.8S ribosomal RNA", at positions 35 to 154 of the family's 154-position model. The record is from RNAcentral.